UACGAAGGGGGCUAGCGUUGUUCGGAUUUACUGGGCGUAAAGCGCACGUAGGCGGAUUUUUAAGUCAGGGGUGAAAUCCCGGGGCUCAACCCCGGAACUGCCUUUGAUACUGGAAGUCUUGAGUAUGGUAGAGGUGAGUGGAAUUCCCAGUGUAGCGGUGAAAUGCGUAGAUAUUGGGAGGAACACCAGUGGCGAAGGCGGCUCACUGGACCGGUACUGACGCUGAGGCGCGAAAGCGUGGGGAGCAAACGGGG
RNAcentral lists this ribosomal RNA (254 nucleotides) under uncultured bacterium. RNAcentral describes it as "partial 16S ribosomal RNA". It matches the Rfam family "Bacterial small subunit ribosomal RNA", at positions 524 to 777 of the family's 1533-position model. The record is from RNAcentral.